RNAcentral lists this ribosomal RNA (150 nucleotides) under Clostridium cadaveris. Its description in RNAcentral is "partial 23S ribosomal RNA". It matches the Rfam family "Bacterial large subunit ribosomal RNA", at positions 2777 to 2925 of the family's 2925-position model. Lineage: Bacteria; Bacillati; Bacillota; Clostridia; Eubacteriales; Clostridiaceae. The record is from RNAcentral.
GCAUCUAAGCGUGAAGCCCCCCUCAAGAUGAGAUUUCCCAUAACGUAAGUUAGUAAGACCCCUUGAAGAACACAAGGUAGAUAGGUGAGAGGUGUAAGUGCAGCAAUGUAUUCAGCUGACUCAUACUAAUAGGUCGAGGACUUAAUCAAA